Molecule: long non-coding RNA, 2011 nt
Organism: Homo sapiens (human)
Lineage: Eukaryota; Metazoa; Chordata; Mammalia; Primates; Hominidae
Exons: 3
Source: RefSeq, a predicted model, not a curated record
CUUGAACCAGGUGGUGUGGUCAUACUCCUCACCAGGCCUCAGCAGCACAGGAGGGAAGCGGGGCUGUGAAGGGGAAACAACACAGAAAGAUACAAUCUGAGAAGCAACCCUGCAGGACUUGGCUGAAAGUCAACAGGCGGCUGAUCAAAUGAAGCAAUAGAAGCUGUGUAAUUUGUCACAUCAAGCACCUGCGACAAACCCACGCACAAUCCGAGGAAUGCUGGAAAAACGCAAUGAUCUACUCUGGUGGAAUAUUACUGUUGGAAUCAUUUCCUUUCAAGGCUGAUGAAAACUUGGCAAGAAAUGCUGAUUCACAAACAGACCUUGAGGCCCAUCUCUGGGUUCAGUGUUUGUUUUGGUUAACUUUGCUUGGCUGCUACCUGUUUGUAACAUUAACCAUUUAUAGAGCCCAUUAUGAUUUGCAGGGGACUUUAAAGACAUUGUGCAAUAUCACUACCACAGCCUUAACUCAGCUCUCAUCACCUCUAGCAGGAGGGUACAGACACUGUGGGUUACUACCCACAAGCCAUGGCAACUCUUUUACCAGCAACUCUGUGCCCCCAGGCAGAAACUAGGCUUGUUGAUUUAUCCUAUGCUAGACCAGAUAUUCAGGGAAGAGGACCCACCCCCGCUCCAUUUCCAGAGGGCAAAUUUUGACUGGUCUAAGCCAAUCAUCAUGGCCUAAUUCCCUUGCUGGCGAUUGGGUUAGGCAGAGCAUAGGCCACACUUCUGGCCAAUGAGAAAUCAGAGAAAGUUGGCUGGAGGGCUUCUAGGAAAAGCAUUGCUUUUUCUUAAAAAGAGGACAUUAGAGAUAUGAAAAAUGGAAUGGGUCUUUUUGUCUCUGGAUGUGACUAUAUGAGGAGGUGAUUCCUGGAGCUGUGGCCAUGAGGGGACAAGCCUGAAGACAAAAGCCAAAAUACUGAGGAAGCAGAUGGAAAACUGGAAGAACCUGGGUCCUUAAUGACAUGUCUACCUGUCAUGUACCACAUGCUAUUGCUUUUCAUCUCGAAUUCCCCCAGACCUGCUUUCAUAACUCUUUCGGUAAAGUUUCUGUUGUUUUUUUGUUUGUUUGUUUUUAUUGUUUAUAAAAACACAGUCUCACUGUGUCAUCCAAGAUGGAGUCCAGUGGCGCAAUCUUGGCUCACUGCAACCUCCGUCUCCUGGGUUCAAGCAAUUCUCAUGCCUCGGCCUCCUGAUUAGCUGGGAUUGCAGGCAUCUACCACAACGCCCAGCUAAUUUUUUGUAUUUUUAGUGGAGACGGGUUUUUACCAUGUUGGGCAGGUUGGUCUUGAACUCCUGACCUCAAGUGAUCUGCCCACCUUGGCCUCCCAAGUGCUGGGAUUACAGGCGUGAGCUGCCGCACCCAGCCUGUUUGUUUGUUUUUAGAGAUGGGGGAUCUCUCUAUGUUGCCCGGUCUGGUCUUGAACUCCUGGGCUCCAGUGAUGCUCCCACCUUGGCCUUCCAAAGUGCUGGGAUUACAGGCAUGAGCCACCACACCCAGGUCUUUAGGUAAAGUUUCAAUAAAAAAAAAGUUAUCCCAGUUUUGUGUUAGGCACAGGAAGGAACAGAAAAAUAAAAUAAAACAAAAAACGACCUGCAACCUACAUACCUUUUAUAUUCUUUGACAAAGCCAGUUCUCCCCUCCUCCCCAGGUCUCCAACCCUCAAACUUAGAAGUGAUGAGCAAUACUUGGGCCCAAAUAGAACAAAAAUACCACUUAUUAAAUUUAAAAAACAAACAAAAAUAUAUAAGAUGAGCUGACUAAUUUAAAUAUCAGGUUUUGAGCUAUGUGCCUGGGGAGGGUUUGAGAUAUAUGAUAAUGCUUCUCAAGGUAUGGCAAGAGAUAUUCUGAAGAUGCAGAGGCCCUUGACUCCAGGUCUGGCUUGGUGAUCAUCCACUCCUACCGGAGUGCCUUGGAAGGCUGGUGCCCCCAUCCACCUUCAAACCUGAAGUUAGUGGCUGUGGAUUCAAGCUACGCUUACUAAGAUAGAGGUUGAAAAUCCCUAAUCUG